This 520-nucleotide ribosomal RNA is filed under the name Pantoea dispersa. RNAcentral describes it as "bacterial SSU rRNA". It matches the Rfam family "Bacterial small subunit ribosomal RNA", at positions 1 to 504 of the family's 1533-position model. The record is from RNAcentral. Lineage: Bacteria; Pseudomonadati; Pseudomonadota; Gammaproteobacteria; Enterobacterales; Erwiniaceae.
GCUCAGUUUGGAAAAAGUUGAUCCUGGCUCAGAUUGAACGCUGGCGGCAGGCCUAACACAUGCAAGUCGAACGGCAGCACAGAAGAGCUUGCUCUUUGGGUGGCGAGUGGCGGACGGGUGAGUAAUGUCUGGGAAACUGCCCGAUGGAGGGGGAUAACUACUGGAAACGGUAGCUAAUACCGCAUAACGUCGCAAGACCAAAGUGGGGGACCUUCGGGCCUCACACCAUCGGAUGUGCCCAGAUGGGAUUAGCUAGUAGGUGGGGUAAUGGCUCACCUAGGCGACGAUCCCUAGCUGGUCUGAGAGGAUGACCAGCCACACUGGAACUGAGACACGGUCCAGACUCCUACGGGAGGCAGCAGUGGGGAAUAUUGCACAAUGGGCGCAAGCCUGAUGCAGCCAUGCCGCGUGUAUGAAGAAGGCCUUCGGGUUGUAAAGUACUUUCAGCGGGGAGGAAGGCAGUGAGGUUAAUAACCUCGCCGAUUGACGUUACCCGCAGAAGAACCAGCGGGCUAAACAU